Molecule: ribosomal RNA, 160 nt
Filed under: uncultured bacterium
Lineage: Bacteria
Description: partial 16S ribosomal RNA
Rfam family: Bacterial small subunit ribosomal RNA
Source: RNAcentral
CCUACGGGAGGCAGCAGUGGGGAAUAUUGCACAAUGGGGGAAACCCUGAUGCAGCGACGCCGCGUGGAGGAAGAAGGUCUUCGGAUUGUAAACUCCUGUUGUUGAGGAAUGAUAAUGACGGUACUCAACAAGGAAGUGACGGCUAACUACGUGACCAGCA